GUGGCCCCACAAUAUCAUGCUCAUGCAUAACUGGGGCCACUUGGCCGGCUGUGGGCGGCCCCUUUAACCGCAAGCCACAUCA
This 82-nucleotide small nucleolar RNA is filed under the name Jaculus jaculus (lesser Egyptian jerboa). Lineage: Eukaryota; Metazoa; Chordata; Mammalia; Rodentia; Dipodidae. The record is from RNAcentral.